CCUACGGGGGGCUGCAGUGGGGAAUAUUGGACAAUGGGCGCAAGCCUGAUCCAGCCAUGCCGCGUGAGUGAUGAAGGCCCUAGGGUUGUAAAGCUCUUUUGUGCGGGAAGAUAAUGACGGUACCGCAAGAAUAAGCCCCGGCUAACUUCGUGCCAGCAGCCGCGGUAAUACGAAGGGGGCUAGCGUUGCUCGGAAUCACUGGGCGUAAAGGGUGCGUAGGCGGGUCUUUAAGUCAGAGGUGAAAGCCUGGAGCUCAACUCCAGAACUGCCUUUGAUACUGAGGAUCUUGAGUUCGGGAGAGGUGAGUGGAACUGCGAGUGUAGAGGUGAAAUUCGUAGAUAUUCGCAAGAACACCAGUGGCGAAGGCGGCUCACUGGCCCGAUACUGACGCUGAGGCACGAAAGCGUGGGGAGCAAACAGGAUUAGAUACCCUAGUAGUC
This 440-nucleotide ribosomal RNA is filed under the name uncultured Nitrobacter sp. Its description in RNAcentral is "bacterial SSU rRNA". It matches the Rfam family "Bacterial small subunit ribosomal RNA", at positions 338 to 795 of the family's 1533-position model. The record is from RNAcentral. Lineage: Bacteria; Pseudomonadati; Pseudomonadota; Alphaproteobacteria; Hyphomicrobiales; Nitrobacteraceae.